This 253-nucleotide ribosomal RNA is filed under the name uncultured bacterium. Its description in RNAcentral is "partial 16S ribosomal RNA". It matches the Rfam family "Bacterial small subunit ribosomal RNA", at positions 524 to 776 of the family's 1533-position model. The record is from RNAcentral.
UACGUAGGGGGCAAGCGUUGUCCGGAUUUACUGGGCGUAAAGAGCGCGUAGGCGGCCAAGCAGGUCCGUUGUGAAAACUGGAGGCUUAACCUCCAGACGUCGACGGAAACCGCGUGGCUAGAGUCCGGAAGAGGAGAGUGGAAUUCCUGGUGUAGCGGUGAAAUGCGCAGAUAUCAGGAAGAACACCAAUGGCGAAGGCAGCUCUCUGGGACGGUACUGACGCUGAGACGCGAAAGCGUGGGGAGCGAACAGG